Non-coding RNA from Pan troglodytes (chimpanzee), 2462 nucleotides. The record is from the annotation of a RefSeq genome assembly. NCBI's taxonomy places the organism in Eukaryota, Metazoa, Chordata, Mammalia, Primates, Hominidae.
ACAACACUAACCUCACAAACACACACUAAGCUAGGUUGUGUGUAUAGGUCAGAACAAAAGAUCUACCAUUUAACUGACAUAUAAGAUUGGUUCUCGAAACCAUAGGACCCACUGGAAAUGGUGACCUCACAGGAAGAUGCAUCUUGUAGGAGGCAGCUGUGAGGUCUGGUUCCCCGACGUGCUGCAGCAAGUGCCUUUGCCCUGCCUGUGGGCUCCCUCCAUGGCCAACUCUGCUAUGGACACCAGAGUCCUCUGCUGUGCGGUCAUCUGUCUUCUGGGGGCAGGUCUCUCAAAUGCCGGCGUCAUGCAGAACCCAAGACACCUGGUCAGGAGGAGGGGACAGGAGGCAAGACUGAGAUGCAGCCCAGUGAAAGGACACAAUCAUGUUUACUGGUAUCGGCAGCUCCCAGAGGAAGGUCUGAAAUUCAUGGUUUAUCUCCAGAAAGAAAAUAUCAUAGAUGAGUCAGGAAUGCCAAAGGAACGAUUUUCUGCUGAAUUUCCCAAAGAGGGCCCCAGCAUCCUGAGGAUCCAGCAGGCAGUGCGAGGAGAUUCGGCAGCUUAUUUCUGUGCCAGCUCACCACCCACAUUGAUGCAGAGCCACAUCCUCUCAGUCCACAAACCUCCUCCAGACCUGCCUUGGAAACAGCGGUGGACCAGGAAGGGAAACACGUUACCUGUACAGUGAACAGAUAUAGGCCACCUACAGAAAAAGAUUUGUUAUAAUUUGCUUUGAUGAAACAAUUUCAUAAAAUCAAAAGGCAGACAAAAGCAAAGUCAUUUCAAAUAUAUGCGCAGACUAAGUCCAGCCUCACCAGCUUGGAGUAUAAACCCUGUGAUUCCACUGCAGUUUUUGCCCUUUGAUUUUCUAAAAUCAUUUAAUGUACUCCUGCCCCUCCCUCACUUUACCCAAAAGGAGAAAAACCCAGAAAAUCUUCCAGGAAGACAGAAGAGGGACACCGGCUGGGGAGCCUGAGAAAGAUCCAGAGAGAUUUCCAGAAAAAGACCAACCCUGAGACCCCAGCAAGGCUGCAGAGAAGAUGGAUUCCAAACUUCAUGCCAUUUAAAGCACCAGACAUGUAAUUUAAAGAAACAGUCUUCCAAAGGUAGUGCUUUACAGGGAGGGGAAAAAAAGGCAAAGAGGAAGAAAGAGGGUCUUCUGGCAAUUCAAUAGUGAGGAGAAAAAGAGGAAAAAGGGGAAAACUGAGAAUUCUGCAAAACAAAAGGAAAUCACAAAUCAAGAGGACCCACAACCAGCCCCACUACGAAAACAAAGCUCACUAAGGAGUCUGGAUUUUGCUAGAAUGAUGGCCAAAGGAACAUUAGACUAGGAAUUUUGUAAAACACCUCAAUAACACGAAAAUGAGCAAGAUGAAAGUAAUACCCGUACAACAAAGGAAAACAUCUCACCUCUGUUCCCUGUUCCCUCACCUCAAAAGCAAUCAUGAGUCAGAAGAAAAUGUAAGUCUACACUCCAAACAGAAAUAAAUACACUCAAGGAAGCAGCUGAGGAUAUAAGUGACCAUAACCAGACCAGGACUUUAAAAACUCAGACUACAAAUGGCCAAAAUGGGAAGACAUCAAAAAAAAAAAAAAACAAAUUGAUUGAACUCAGGAAGGACAUGAAAGAAAAAGACAAAGUUAUCCCAGUCAUGAAAAAUAAAAGAUGACCAAGGGAAAAUAAACCCAAAUGAAAAUUUAGUCAGGACAUUGAACAAAGACAAAGAAACAAGUAGCAGAAUGAGAAGGACAUGAGUGAAACCAGCCAGUUAGAAGGCGGUCAAAGAAGGCGAGGUCUUGGUAUGAUUGCAUGAGGGGCCUGGAACAGCAGCGCUGGGCUCUGUGCAGCAGGACGGCUAAGCAGCAGGUUGUCACAGUGGCCACAGCACUACUGGCCAGACCCCAGGAGUCACAGUUUCCCUGAGAGAGCUGAGGGCAUAAACAAUGAUAAGUUCUCCAGGGGAUGGACUUCUUAAAUACUCUGAGUUCAUCAUUACACAUUCUAUGCAUGUAGCAAAAUACCACAGGCACCCACAAAUAGGUACACAUAUUAUGUUUCAAUGUUUUUUUAAAAAAAGGAAAAAUAAAUGAAUUCCACAUUCUUGUAUAAUCAGAGUGUCUACAGCGCUCCUAGAGCAACCCAAACCUUACGGUUCCUGGAAAGAUAAAAACCAAUGGGCCAAUUGGGGUGAAACUCUGGCCCGGAAACGUGGGGUGCCAGCCCCCUCAGCACAGAUGCAAUGCAGAGUUAUGGGAGGUGCGAAUGACUCUGCUCUCUGUCCUGUCUCCUCAUCUGCAAAAUUAGGAAGCCUGUCUUGAAUAUCUCCAGGAACCUCCCACCUCUUCAUUCCAGCCUCUGACAAACUCUGCACAUUAGGCCAGGAGAAGCCCCUGAGCCAAGCCUCUUUUCUCAUUCUCUUCCAACAAGUGCUUGGAGCUGCAAGGAGGCCCCCUUUGCACUAUGA